AACCAUGCAAACUUGUUGAUGCUCCAUCACCUUUAUACAUGUUUUCUUAUUUGUUUUUACUUGUUAUCUUUAUUCUUUUCUUUCUAGUGUACCUGCCUUUUGAAAUUGUGUAACUUGGAUGAAUAUAUCUUCUUACAUUCGCAGUUGUUUUUAUGGUUAACUUGGGGUGACAGUGCUGGUCAUAGUACUCGGAUCUGUAUCUAUACGGUUCUAUUACUAACGAUAUUAUACAAUAGCCGAUUUCCUUUUUCUCCUCUCAGCGAGAUGCAAACAAGAAAGCGAAUAUGAUGAUUUUUUUUUUUGUAAUUGGAGUAUGAUUAUCUGAUCUUGUAAUAUGGUUGACUCCUGAAUUAUCAUUUUGUAAAGAAGUUCACUACGAGUAUGCUUUCAGGCUGUCACACAUUUCAAUGAAGUGACCACCCUGAAUUUGUAAAAUUGAUCAAUUAAAAUUUGUAACAUUGAGGAGGAGGUCGUCAGCAUGAAGUCGUGGGUCUUCACUUUUUCCUUCUUGAGGGAUACAUUUUCAUGACAGCUUUAUAUUAAUAUGGCAGUUUAUAUUACUUGGCAAAUACGGAUGCAUCAUUUUAGAUUAUACUCUCUCCGUAUCUUUAUAUAAGGCGUAUUGGUUUUUUGAUAAAAUUUCACAAUGUAAGGUGCAUUUGUUCUAAUUUCUCGUAAUUCCGAUCAUGUAUAUCUUCCCUGAUUUCAUGUAUUUCUCCUUGUAGAGAAAGAAAAGGAAACGGUCUCUCCCGAUUGCAUGUAUCACUUCCUUUCGUUGCCUAAAUAAUUUAUUUGUCGCUAAUCUACGAAUUAGACAAGUUAGACAAGCAGAAUUUCAUCCUAAAUAGUCCAUAAUUAUGUGCCUUGAAAAUAAUACACCUUAGAUAAAAGAAUGAAGAGAGUAUCAACUAGAAAAUCAGGAGGCUCGUCCUGUUAGGUAAAAGUACUGCCGUACUGGAGCCUUAGAGCCUUCUGCUUUACUCCCUCCAUUCCCUAAUAUAAGGUGUAUUUGGUUUUUCAAAAAUCAAAUGAGUGCACGUUUGACCGAGUUUUAAGAAAAAUAUAUCAAUAUCCACAAUAUAAAAUUUAUAUUAUUUGUUUCAUCAUGAAAAGUAGAUUCAUAUUUUACCUAUUAGGUAUUGCAGAUGUUAUUAUUUUAUUCUAUAAUAUUGGUCAAACAUUCAAAUGGUUGACUUGCACAUAAACCAAUACACCUUAUAUUCUGAAAUGGAGGGUACUAGAUAAUGGGACAGUGGUUAAACAAAAUAUAAGGAAAAUUGUGGCAUAAAACAUGCAUUCUCAUAGACCGCUGUUGCGGGUUGGAUAGAAUUGUCACCAUUCAGCGUGACUUCUAUAACUUCCAUACAAUUUGCCUUCACAUUUAUUUUUGCGGAUGCUUCCACAUUAACUUGCUACAUGCACAUGAGCCCAUCUCUGAGAGCCUGGACUUCCGAAGUACCAACAUCUUAAACGAAGGGAAUCCCACUGGCCAGGAAAUAACCCUUUAUCGUCUCAAAUGAUAGCGCCAGUUCCUCCAUAGCCACUGUCACUAACAAAUGUAGUGUCAACAUUUAGUUUAAAGAGGCCUUCUUUUGGCUUUUGCUAGCCAUGUCUUGGAUUUGCACCUUGGUUCCCUCGGCUAAUCCUCCUUCCGAGCCGUAAGAUUCAUACUACUGAUAGUUUCAUCAUGCCGAGAAGGAAGUAAUAGAACCGAGCCCCCGUGUCGCUCCCUUGUGACCGGCUCGGGCGGACGAGAAAGACCUAACGGAGCCUCCACCACAGAUCCUUCUGGUGAUGCAGAUCUUGCCCGAGUUGCAGAAGAUCUAUGUGGUGCAUGCUUCGCCUCUGUUGAUGAUACAUUUGGAUUUGCUUAUGACCUUGAGUAUGGUUAUGUCCCCACCCACACCACCACCGCCAGAGACCAACCAAGCGCUCAUCUUUGUGAAGCAUGGAUGGUUGGGCGCCUAUUGUCUUCCACUCGCAUGAGCCCAUCGGCCAGGUGGUUCCUGCUGGUGACGAGGUUGUGGCGUUCAAUACAUUGACGUCUGUUUUUGAGGCUCUAUUCGCUAAACAAUUUCAAGAAUUAAUAGCCAAAAUGGGUGGACCUGACAAUGACGGAUUGUUGCCUCAUGAAGGGGAAGGCAGCCAGGGGCAAGAGCAAGAGGGUUCGCUCUAGCCAUCGUGUGUUCAUCUUGAUGAAGAAACCUUUUGGGAGCAAAAGUAAGAACAGUGAGACCACAGAGAAGGCAUCAACGACUGCUUGAUGGACGAUGUUCGAUGCCAUUAUCGAUGUGUUUUUGGUAGGGGUUUCUUUGUGAUGUUGCGAUCCAUUGGUUGAUUUGUGGUUAUAAUGGGUUGGGAGCACAUAUUCGUCUUCUUGAAUGGUCACGGAAAUUCAUGCUUUGGAAGUAGACAACACAUGGUCAUACAGUAACGAUUUUGACCUGAUUUUGUUAAUUAAUUAGUCAAUUCUAUUUGAGUGAAGUGUUUUGGUGUCUAGUCUCAUCUGCACCCGGUCAUAACAAGAAUCACAACAAAUUUAAAAAAAUCAAUUUUUUUGCAUGGUAGAAAAUUUAUUGCGUGAGGUCCGCUUCAAUUUUCAUACCAUUUAGACAUCCGAGUACUCUCAGCAAAAAAGGCAAAUCGGGCCAGGACAACGUAUGAAUAGUAAAGUUUUUUAUAGACCACGGAUUUGUCUUUUUUGGCGAGAGCCGCUCAGAUGUCCAAAUGAUUUGAAAAUUAGAGCGGGCAUCACACAUCAAAUUAUCUAUCGCAAAAAUAGAAUUUUUUAAAAUUUUCUAGUAUUUGUGUCGAUUUUCCUUCAGGGUGGGUGCAAAUGAGCCUGGGCUCAUAAGUGGAUUAUCAAUUCUAUUCUACUUAAUUAAUUGAUGAGACAAUUCUUAUUCUUUCUUCAAAAAAAUAGCAAUGCUAUUUUUUGUGGGAAAAACUUCCGAUCUAUUCAUUUUCAAUCAUGGUAGUGCAACAAACAUUAAAAUAAUAAAAAUUACAUCAAGAUCCAUAGACCACCUAGUGACGACUACGAGCAGUGAAACGAGCCAAAGGUGCGCCGCUAUCAUCGCCCCUUCUUCGUCGGAGCCGAGCAAACCUUGUUGUAGUAGACAGUUGGAAAGUUGUCGUGCUAAGGCCCCAUAUAGAACCAAGGCACCAAAACAACAAUCGCCGUCGACGAAGAGUGUAGAUCAGAAGGAACCAAUCUGAAGACACACGAAAAUAGGCGAACGACGAAUAUAUCCAAGCAAAUCCACCAAAGAUAGAUCCGUCGAAGACACACCUCCACACGCCCACCGGCUGAUGCUAGACGCAUCAUCGAAACGGGGGCUAGGCUAAGAGACCAACAUUCCAUCUUGAAGGAGCCGUGCCGUCUCGUCUUCCAAAGCAGGACACAAACACUAACAAGACUCGAAAAAAAAUCUAAAAAUGAAGCCCUUCCACCGGCAAGGGCUGGGAUCCAUUCCGCCUCCACGGCCCUAAGGCCACCGGAGACAGAGACAAGGUAGACCGAUGGGAGGCAGACUUCAACAAUAUUUGAAAGUUCAGAUUAGGGAUAUACUUAUGUUUUAGGAGCAAUAAAGACUUCAACAAUUUACGUAAAGGAGACGUAGGUGUAGCAUUUUCGCUAAAAACGUGAGAGCAGUUACAAUUUAAAUGAGUGUUAGUUAGUCCUAGCCAUGGACAGCCCGACCUGAAAAAGCCCGACCCGGCCUGGCCUGACGCUGCUCUUGGACCGGGCCCGGGCCUAGAUUUUGAGUGUUAUUAGUACGUAUGGAUUUUGUAAAUCUUUGCGUAAGAAAAGGAUUUUCGGAGAUCGUGAGAAAGGGUGCGGCGGUGUGCGAGGGCGAGAGGGCAGCGAACACACACGUGCCCGCAACCGACUACCGGGGCCCACCUGGCGGCCCGUAGAUGGCCUGAGAAUUCCCCACCUUGAGAUCGGCUUGUUAGAAAACAACCGUGAGAUCGGGUUCGGGCAGGCCGCCGAGUCGUCGUCGUCGUCGAGCUCGAUCCCCACCCCACCCCACCACCCGCCCCGCGCCGGCGCGCCCCCGGAGAUCGGAGCAGGAUCCCGGCCUCGCCAUGAAUCCGGAGUAGUAAGUCGCUCGCUCUCGCCUCUCCUCUCCCUCUCUGGUUGAAUCAAUUGGGGGGCCGGGGAUCUCGCCGGAUCUGGCGCCUGCUGCCGUCGAUUCGCGGGAUUCAGCUCUUAGCCCCCUCCUACAUUCGGCGGAUUUCGACCGUGGCCAUGCACGAUCUUCGUCAUGCUAGGGUAAAAGCGCAGGGAUAGUACUGUUCGUGUAGGAGGAUCUUCCUUGGGUGCGAAGCGAUCGCGUGACCGACGCGCCGCCGGGCUCGCCCUCCUCCAGCUCAAACCGCCGGCCGGCGAGAGGUCAUUAGGGUAGCGAGAGGACGCCACAGAUGGCUUCCCAGCAGGGCAAGAAGAUGGAGUUGGGAUGUGGUGGAGUGAAUGUUGCAUGCUAGAUGCACACACACACAAACACAAACACGGUUGUUUGUACCAGAUGAUUUUCCCCACAUAAUCAGAGAUGGCUUCGGUGACGAUGACAAGCAGGAAGGACCCAGCUGCGAUGAACCUUUGUUCGACAGUGGUUUAGCCAUGUUAUUAGGUUUCCUGUCACUGCCCAACUCCUGUGUUUUUUCAUUCCUCUGUUUUGCACAAGAGUGAUCUUCGUUUUCCUGCAUUUUUUCUAUCCUAUGUUCCAAACGGGGUCUUAUUGUUUUUCUUUUAAGCAAAUGCGUUCUUACCGUGGACUGCUGUCACGGGUGUUGUUGUUUCAUUAGAAGGAUGCUUGCUCUUAAAGGGUGACUAUGGUGAUAGGCCUAUGACUGCUCUGAAAACACUUCUCGUUGUUUUAUGGACAAGAAAUUGUUGGUUAGCAUGUUGGUGGUGUGACUAUAUGAUGCUUAGUGCAUCCAUAUGUUCAUUCUACAAGCACGAUCGGACGCCUUGCUCAAUCCGAUUGGCGAUGUUUUUGUAUUGUGCACAUGGGUAUUGCUUCUGUACCUUAUGAAUAUACAUCAUCGCUCACGGAAUCGUUCUCUUGGUUAGUGUUGUAGCUGUUGUGUAGCUUCACCAUUGGAAACUGUUACUUAUCUAUUCAGCUUCCUUUUUCUUUCUUCUUUUUUUUUCGAGAAAACGCAAAGACUUUGCAUUUCUUUUCAUUGAAAAGUGGGGGAACAGGUUACACGCCUCCUAGGAUAUCUGUCUAUGAAUUAAUGCACAAACUUCUAAGCCUCAAGAUGUUGAUUCUAUCCAAUUUUGGUAUUAGUUAUCUUAAAUUUAUUCAUCUUUGUAUUGCUGCUCAAUGUUCUAAGCAUGGAUAUAAUGACUAUGUCUCAUUUUGUUAUUAUUGCCAUGUAAAUGUUGGCAUUACUUGUUUAUUUCGUAUAGUAAGUACAUUUGAUUGAGACUAAUAUCCUGUUGCUUGACAUGGCAGUGACUAUCUCUUUAAGCUUCUGCUUAUCGGAGACUCAGGUGUUGGCAAGUCAUGCCUUCUCUUAAGAUUUGCCGUAAGAAUUCCUAUCUAAAGCAUGAUUUGUUCACUCUCUUUUAUAGGUCUUCCCUUUUUUAAUAUGCAUCUUGAUCUUAAAAGUUUGAUAUAAGUUGUCUUCGGGAUAUCAUGGAAACUGUCAAUUUAUUUUUAGCCUCAGUAAACUGUAUGAUUUCCCACUACUUAAUACGAAUGAGGAGUUCAUUGUUGGUAGCUACUGUUUCUUAACAACAUGGAGAUGAUCCCUAUAACAAUCUUGUUGUUACUAGUUAAUUUACUCUGACCUCCUUAAUAUUGACUCUUUUGGCAGGAUGACUCAUACCUGGAGAGUUAUAUCAGUACUAUUGGUGUUGAUUUCGUAAGUAUAUUUACUUUCUUGGUCUGAGUGUUAAUGUUCUGGGUACCUUAAUUGAACUUUAGCCUUGUUUUCUUCCAACUUUGUCGAUAGAAAAUACGUACCGUGGAGCAAGAUGGAAAGACUAUGAAGCUGCAAAUCGUGAGUCUAUUCUUUCUUUCUUUAUGUCCAGUAUGCAUGUACCAUCGAAUCCAGAUUUGACAAAAUAGAAGACUUCAUUGGGAAACAUUUCAUUUAUAGCCCUCUUUUGUUUUGUGGAGUUUGCUGGAUUUUCCCUUUGCAUAAUAUAGCAUGCCGUUAUUCAUCAGUAUUUAUGUGGUUGUUAGUUGAGGCCAGUUCACAGGAAACAGAAACUCCACUAUGCCUGAAUAUGUAGGCAGUUGCACAACCCCUUUUUACCUUGUGUUUUUUUUAGUUCCAUCCAUUUAAAUUACUGUUGAACAUAAAGAAUAAGAGUAGUUUAGCCCAUUAAAUUAAAUGUUUAUAUUAAGUUUCUUAGUUCACAUAAAGAAUCACACUUUCAAGAUGUUUUUAGGUACCAAAGUGAUGCCCAUUUUGAACAUCAUAUAUAGGGGCCUGAUAGUAUGUCAUUUAAAUACUAGGGUGGUACGGUAGCUCAUGCUGCACCUACUGUUGGCAUUUGGCGAUUCUUCCUUCCUUUUGUGUGACACAUUACAUUUAGUGAUGCAAGAUAUCCAUUUCCUUUUCUUUAAACCCCUCUUUGGUACCUUUGUUUUUAUCAGUGGGACACUGCUGGGCAAGAACGCUUCAGAACUAUUACUAGCAGCUACUAUCGAGGGGCUCACGGGAUCAUUGUAAGUUUGUUUAUGUGAAAUCUUAUUUUUAUUUUUCACAUGCUAUUUAACAUGCAUAAAUGUUCCAGUUUUUAUAUAUUUUGAAUACAUAUAUACAAAUGGGGUUGCAGAUUGUCUAUGACGUGACAGACCAGGACAGCUUCAACAAUGUGAAGCAGUGGUUGAACGAGAUUGAUCGCUAUGCUAGUGAGAAUGUUAACAAGCUUCUUGUAGGGAACAAAUCUGAUCUCACUGACAAAAGAGUUGUAUCAUAUGAGACAGCGAAGGUACCUUAUGCUUUACUCGUAUCUGCUGAAGCAUUCUUUCUGCUCUUUGUGUUUACAUUUGGUGUAUGCAGGCAUUUGCUGAUGAGAUUGGCAUCCCAUUCAUGGAGACCAGUGCAAAGAAUGCCUUGAACGUUGAGCAGGCUUUCAUGGCUAUGUCUGCUUCAAUCAAGGACAGGUGUGUGUUCCCAGACGGUUUAAUUAGCACAGGCCAUCCUACUAGUCCACUUCUUGUUGACUACCAUCAUUUUACACUUUAUUUACUGCUCAUUGAUGCUCUGUUCCUAUAGUAUCAUAACCAAAAUUGCCCUACACUCUUUAGCAUGUUGCUGUUAACUGUUCUAUGUUAUUCCUCACGGUUUUGUUCUAUAUACACCUCAUAGAAAGAGCAUAUAAGUAUGAAUAAAAAUCUUGGUUUCCAGGAUGGCGAGCCAGCCAGCCGCAAACAGCGCUCGCCCAGCCACGGUGCAGAUACGCGGGCAACCUGUCGAACAGAAGACGAGCUGCUGCUCUUCUUGAAAUGCAGGCAGCCGCCAUCCGUGUUACCCAAAUGGAGACGCAAACUUGGCCGCGCCAUCCUCGAGUCCAUGCUUCUACAUAGGCCUACUACAUCUUACACCUUCAUUCCAUUCUUUCUAGUGUACUUAUUAGCUCUUGAAUCGUUGGACUUGUAACACCGGACGGAGUUUGGAGACAGUAUCUUCUUCUAGUUGUGUAUCUUGAAUGGUUAUAUGUUACGAUUUGCAGCUGUUGCUUUUCUUGCCUAAAUUUAAGGCGAUUUCUACUUUUACUUGACCAAAAUGUUCCGUUCUUCAAAAUAUUAUCUGACAGUAUGCUUAUCUUUGUGGUAAAAAAGGUCCUGAUUAUAAUUUUCAAG
This 7832-nucleotide long non-coding RNA is filed under the name Triticum aestivum (bread wheat). RNAcentral describes it as "long non-coding RNA (TAES_LNC028431)". Lineage: Eukaryota; Viridiplantae; Streptophyta; Magnoliopsida; Poales; Poaceae. The record is from RNAcentral.